GACGAACGCUGGCGGCGUGCUUAACACAUGCAAGUCGAACGGAAAGGCCCUGCUUUUGUGGGGUGCUCGAGUGGCGAACGGGUGAGUAACACGUGAGUAACCUGCCCUUGACUUUGGGAUAACUUCACGAAACUGGGGCUAAUACCGGAUAGGAGCUCCUGCUGCAUGGUGGUGGUUGGUAAGUUUCGGCGGUUGGGGAUGGACUCGCGGCUUAUCAGCUUGUUGGUGGGGUAGUGGCUUACCAAGGCUUUGACGGGUAGCCGGCCUGAGAGGGUGACCGGCCACAUUGGGACUGAGAUACGGCCCAGACUCCUACGGGAGGCAGCAGUGGGGAAUAUUGCACAAUGGGCGGAAGCGUGAUGCAGCAACGCCGCGUGCGGGAUGACGGCCUUCGAGUUGUAAACCGCUUUCGCCUGUGACGAAGCGUGAGUGACGGUAAUGGGUAAAGAAGCACCGGCUAACUACGUG
Molecule: ribosomal RNA, 468 nt
Filed under: uncultured bacterium
Lineage: Bacteria
Description: partial 16S ribosomal RNA
Rfam family: Bacterial small subunit ribosomal RNA
Source: RNAcentral